Long non-coding RNA from Magnolia sinica, 392 nucleotides. RefSeq lists it as uncharacterized. The transcript has 2 exons. The record is from RefSeq and is a predicted model, not a curated record. Lineage: Eukaryota; Viridiplantae; Streptophyta; Magnoliopsida; Magnoliales; Magnoliaceae.
GAAAAGUCCAGUCAAUUUUCUGUCCGCCCUUUUUUUGUGUUGCUAUUUCAGUUAUCAUCACAGAGAGCUUGCGUCACACCGCUUUCAUGUGACAUUAUGCUACUGCUUAUAAGGUAUUGGCUUUCACGUGGCAAGUGAGUAGGAAUAGGUGCUUAGAGACUGAUGGCUUGUUCCUAGCAUGGCAUGACAGUCAGAUUUGGAAAAAAAAAAAAAAAGGUAGGAAGGUAGGGUGUUGUGAUGCUUGGCUUUGUUCGCCAGUGUUUUUAGAAUAUAAGUAGAGUGGUCUCUGUAUUAUUUUCUAGUGCCAAGUGAUGUAUUUUGGGAUGGGCUUCUAGUUUAGAAGCUCUUGACAAGUGUAUCUUUCUUUCUUGAUUUGGGCUGACAUUAUUGUU